GACGGAGGAGGCUAGCGUUGGUCGGAAUUACUGGGCGUAAAGGGCGUGUAGGCGGCUCUCCAAGUUAGGUGUGAAAGCCCUGGGCUUAACCCAGGAAUUGCGCUUAAUACUGGAGAGCUAGAGGUUGGUAGAGGAAAGUGGAACUCCUAGUGUAGAGGUGAAAUUCAUAGAUAUUAGGAAGAACACCAGAGGCGAAGGCGACUUUCUGGGCCAAUACUGACGCUGAGACGCGAAAGCGUGGGGAGCAAACAGG
Molecule: ribosomal RNA, 253 nt
Filed under: uncultured bacterium
Lineage: Bacteria
Description: partial 16S ribosomal RNA
Rfam family: Bacterial small subunit ribosomal RNA
Source: RNAcentral